This 236-nucleotide ribosomal RNA is filed under the name uncultured Actinomycetales bacterium. RNAcentral describes it as "partial 16S ribosomal RNA". It matches the Rfam family "Bacterial small subunit ribosomal RNA", at positions 96 to 334 of the family's 1533-position model. The record is from RNAcentral. Lineage: Bacteria; Bacillati; Actinomycetota; Actinomycetes; Actinomycetales.
UAGCGAACGGGUGAGUAACACGUGGGUAAUCUGCCCUGCACUCUGGGAUAAGCCUGGGAAACUGGGUCUAAUACUGGAUAUGACCUUUCUCCUUAUGGGGUUUGGUGGAAAGUUUUUCGGUGUAGGAUGAGCCCGCGGCCUAUCAGCUUGUUGGUGGGGUGAUGGCCUACCAAGGCGACGACGGGUAGCCGGCCUGAGAGGGUGAUCGGCCACAUUGGGACUGAGAUACGGCCCAG